Molecule: ribosomal RNA, 253 nt
Filed under: uncultured bacterium
Lineage: Bacteria
Description: partial 16S ribosomal RNA
Rfam family: Bacterial small subunit ribosomal RNA
Source: RNAcentral
UACGAAGGGGGCUAGCGUUGCUCGGAAUCACUGGGCGUAAAGCGCACGUAGGCGGAUUCUUAAGUCAGGGGUGAAAUCCUGGAGCUCAACUCCAGAACUGCCUUUGAUACUGGGAAUCUCGAGUCCGGGAGAGGUGAGUGGAACUGCGAGUGUAGAGGUGAAAUUCGUAGAUAUCGGGAGGAACACCAGUGGCGAAGGCGGCGAUCUGGGAAGAUACUGACGCUGAGGUGCGAAAGCGUGGGGAGCAAACAGG